UACGUAGGUGGCGAGCGUUAUCCGGAAUUAUUGGGCGUAAAGGGUGCGCAGGCGGCAAGAAAAGCUUAAGGUGAAAGCGUGGGGCUCAACCCCAUAAAGCCUUAGGAACUAGCUUGCUAGAGUGCAGGAGAGGGCGAUGGAAUUCCAUGUGUAGCGGUAAAAUGCGUAGAUAUAUGGAGGAACACCAGUGGCGAAGGCGGCUUACUGGACUGUAACUGACGUUGAGGCUCGAAAGCGUGGGGAGCAAACAGG
RNAcentral lists this ribosomal RNA (252 nucleotides) under uncultured Erysipelotrichaceae bacterium. RNAcentral describes it as "partial 16S ribosomal RNA". It matches the Rfam family "Bacterial small subunit ribosomal RNA", at positions 524 to 776 of the family's 1533-position model. Lineage: Bacteria; Bacillati; Bacillota; Erysipelotrichia; Erysipelotrichales; Erysipelotrichaceae. The record is from RNAcentral.